RNAcentral lists this unclassified non-coding RNA (342 nucleotides) under Hevea brasiliensis (rubber tree). Lineage: Eukaryota; Viridiplantae; Streptophyta; Magnoliopsida; Malpighiales; Euphorbiaceae. The record is from RNAcentral.
GGGGAAGGGGAUAAGGAAAAGGACCUACUUCUGCGUCGGCGGCGUCUCCGUGGAGUGGGAGAGCGACUUCUACGACGACGGUAGGAAGGGGAAGGACUUCGACGGCGGCGAAGGGAGGUGGAACGGCUCCUUCUCCUGGAAUGGGAAUUGGAGUAAUAGGGAGAAGGAGUUCGGUCCCUUCUGCUUCUCCGACUAUGGCGAUGGGAAGUGGAGCGGUGAGUGUACGACGGAGACCUUGAAACACUUCUCCCCAUAACAUUAAAUUGAAUUCGGCAGUAGCCACAGGAUCAAGGGAGGAGAAGAAGAACGAACCCUAUGCUAUGGACCCUCGUUCGACUCAAA